Non-coding RNA from Paramuricea clavata, 472 nucleotides. The record is from the annotation of a GenBank genome assembly. Lineage: Eukaryota; Metazoa; Cnidaria; Anthozoa; Malacalcyonacea; Plexauridae.
AGCCAAAAUACCCGCCAUAUUGAAACGUCAGUCGUCAUAGCUUUGUGCCCGCGAAGAAUACUGGUCUUAGUAGUCAUCGCCCGAGAAAAUUAAACAAUUCAAAAUAGCCACUAUCGAAAUUUUCCGGCAUUCCUCGCGGGCAACAAGCGUUGUGACGUCAUCAUGCAUAAAGUCUAUUCUCCAAAAAUACGGGUUUAAAUCGUGAAUUUUCCAUUUUUAGAAAACUAUAUCGAACAACCUUAAGACUUAGGUGUUUAAAAUCACUUUUCAAUAGAUAAAAAUCGACUUCUAUGUAUAUGAUAUAGCGUCCAACAGAAGUUUAACUGUUGUAGAAGUGAGUUUUUAUGGACUUUUUACCGUAAUUGAACCAGGAAUGAAUGGUGGAUUUUGAAUUAGUUUAAUUGGAGGAAUAUUUCUGGUAGGAAUAUUUAAUUUGGAACAAAAAACGCAUAUUUUGGAAAUAUUGAGGCCG